Molecule: ribosomal RNA, 494 nt
Filed under: uncultured bacterium
Lineage: Bacteria
Description: bacterial SSU rRNA
Rfam family: Bacterial small subunit ribosomal RNA
Source: RNAcentral
UAGUCCACGCCGUAAACUAUGAUCACUUGAUAUUGGCUUUAUUGUCAGUGUCUAAGCGAAAGUGUUAAGUGAUCCACCUGGGGAGUACGAUCGCAAGGUUGAAACUCAAAGGAAUUGACGGGGGCCCGCACAAGCGGUGGAGCAUGUGGUUUAAUUCGAUGAUACGCGAGGAACCUUACCAGGGCUUAAAUGCAUAUUGACAGGGCUAGAGAUAGCUUUUCCUUCGGGCAAUUUGCAAGGUGCUGCAUGGUUGUCGUCAGCUCGUGCCGUGAGGUGUCAGGUUAAGUCCUAUAACGAGCGCAACCCCUGUCGUUAGUUGCCAGCGAGUCAUGUCGGGGACUCUAACGAGACUGCCGGUGCAAACCGUGAGGAAGUGGGGAUGACGUCAAAUCAUCACGGCCCUUACGUCCUGGGCCACACACGUGCUACAAUGGUAGGUACAGAGAGCAGCCAUGUCGCAAGGCAGAGCGAAUCUAUAAAACCUAUCACAGUUC